Molecule: RNA transcript, 542 nt
Organism: Fragaria vesca subsp. vesca
Lineage: Eukaryota; Viridiplantae; Streptophyta; Magnoliopsida; Rosales; Rosaceae
Exons: 2
Source: RefSeq, a predicted model, not a curated record
UCUCUUAUAUAUCUAUGUCGAUCCUGGCUUUGGCCUAUUAUCCUUACUACCACAGCAAGUUUGCUAGCAAGAAUUUUCUUACAAGAAAUGGCAGGAAGUUCUAUGAGGGCUGCUCUGGUGACUCUGUUCAUCUUCGCAAUGGUUCUGUCUCCGAUUACAACCUCCGAGGCUGCUCGGUUCACGUUUCUAGAUACAACUCCCAUAUGUCCUGCUUGUGUUUGCUGCGCACCUCCACCGCCGGGCUCUUGCUGCGAUUGUUGUGCCUCACCGAUUGAAACUCAGUCCGAGCAAGGGUCUCCAUAGGACAGCAAAUAUGUUUGUCAUGAAGAAGAGUACACGUAUAUGUAAUUAUCUAUAAAUAAUGGGGUUCACGGUGUCAGAGAAAAAGAACCAUCAUUUGUAUGUAGAAAGUGAUGACAUGGUUGUUUCAUAAUGAAGCAAUAAGAUUAAUUAAGAUUGUAUAAGGAUUAUUGUAUCCUUACACAUGUAUACUUCAAACAUAUAUUUCUCUUUAUACAGUAGACAUAUUACAAAUUAGUGAG